Molecule: ribosomal RNA, 320 nt
Filed under: uncultured bacterium
Lineage: Bacteria
Description: bacterial SSU rRNA
Rfam family: Bacterial small subunit ribosomal RNA
Source: RNAcentral
GAUGAACGCUGGCGGCGUGCUUAACACAUGCAAGUCGAGCGAAGCACUUUUGCGGAUUUCUUCGGAUUGAAGCAACUGUGACUGAGCGGCGACGGGUGAGGUACGCUGGUAACUGCCUCAUACAGGGGGAUAACAGUUGGAAACGACUGCUAAUACCGCAUAAGCGCACAGUACCGCAUGGUACGGUGUGAAAAACUCCGGUGGUAUGAGAUGGACCCGCGUCUGAUUAGGUAGUUGGUGGGGUAACGGCCUACCAAGCCGACGAUCAGUAGCCGACCUGAGAGGGUGACCGGCCACAUUGGGACUGAGACACGGCCCAG